CAGCACCUCAAGUGGUCAGGAUGAUUAUUGGGCCUAAAGCAUCCGUAGCCGGCUCUGUAAGUUUUCGGUUAAAUCUGUACGCUCAACGUACAGGCUGCCGGGAAUACUGCAGCGCUAGGAGUGGGAGAGGUUGACGGUACUCGGUAGGAAGGGGUAAAAUCCUUUGAUCUAUUGAUGACCACCUGUGGCGAAGGCGGUCUACCAGAACACGUCCGACGGUGAGGGAUGAAAGCUGGGGGAGCAAACCGGAUUAGAUACCCGAGUAGUCC
Molecule: ribosomal RNA, 269 nt
Filed under: uncultured archaeon
Lineage: Archaea
Description: partial 16S ribosomal RNA
Rfam family: Archaeal small subunit ribosomal RNA
Source: RNAcentral